This 240-nucleotide unclassified non-coding RNA is filed under the name soil metagenome. RNAcentral describes it as "partial contains 5.8S ribosomal RNA, internal transcribed spacer 2, and large subunit ribosomal RNA". The record is from RNAcentral.
AACUGAUACUACCUGCGGGAACCUGCGGAAGGAUCAUUACAGAGUUGCAAAACUCCCUAAACCAUUGUGAACGUUACCUAAACCGUUGCUUCGGCGGGCGGCCCGGGUCCUUCCCGGCGCCCCUCGGCCCUCGCGGGCGCCCGCCGGAGGAAAACCAAACUAUUGCAUUGUAUGGCCUCUCUGAGUCUUCUGUACUGAAUAAGUCAAAACUUUCAACAACGGAUCUCUAGAUCGGAAGAG